AUGCAGUCGAACGGGAGCCAGAGGAGCUUGCUCCUUGGGUGACGAGUGGCGGACGGGUGAGUAAUGUCUGGGAAACUGCCCGAUGGAGGGGGAUAACUACUGGAAACGGUAGCUAAUACCGCAUAACGUCGCAAGACCAAAGAGGGGGACCUUCGGGCCUCUUGCCAUCGGAUGUGCCCAGAUGGGAUUAGCUAGUAGGUGGGGUAACGGCUCACCUAGGCGACGAUCCCUAGCUGGUCUGAGAGGAUGACCAGCCACACUGGAACUGAGACACGGUCCAGACUCCUACGGGAGGCAGCAGUGGGGAAUAUUGCACAAUGGGCGCAAGCCUGAUGCAGCCAUGCCGCGUGUAUGAAGAAGGCCUUCGGGUUGUAAAGUACUUUCAGCGAGGAGGAAGGGGAUGUGGUUAAUAACCGCAUUCAUUGACGUUACUCGCAGAAGAAGCACCGGCUAACUCCGUGCCAGCAGCCGCGGUAAUACGGAGGGUGCAAGCGUUAAUCGGAAUUACUGGGCGUAAAGCGAACGCAGGCGGUCUGUCAAGUCGGAUGUGAAAUCCCCGGGCUCAACCUGGGAACUGCAUCCGAAACUGGCAGGCUAGAGUCUUGUAGAGGGGGGUAGAAUUCCAGGUGUAGCGGUGAAAUGCGUAGAGAUCUGGAGGAAUACCGGUGGCGAAGGCGGCCCCCUGGACAAAGACUGACGCUCAGGUGCG
RNAcentral lists this ribosomal RNA (709 nucleotides) under uncultured Enterobacteriaceae bacterium. RNAcentral describes it as "bacterial SSU rRNA". It matches the Rfam family "Bacterial small subunit ribosomal RNA", at positions 55 to 755 of the family's 1533-position model. Lineage: Bacteria; Pseudomonadati; Pseudomonadota; Gammaproteobacteria; Enterobacterales; Enterobacteriaceae. The record is from RNAcentral.